Long non-coding RNA from Asparagus officinalis (garden asparagus), 873 nucleotides. RefSeq lists it as uncharacterized. The record is from RefSeq and is a predicted model, not a curated record. Lineage: Eukaryota; Viridiplantae; Streptophyta; Magnoliopsida; Asparagales; Asparagaceae. The transcript has 3 exons.
GUUCGGUCCAAUUUUCUCCGCUGCGGGAAUUUCCCUAGGGUUUUGGUAGAAAGCCCUAACUGCUGAAAUUAGCUAGAUCGAAUUACUUUAUCUCGGGUUCAGUUCGAUCCUUCAAUCUCUGCAGCGGAGAAGUUAGGAUGCGGAGAAGAUUGAAGAGGAGAAGCUCACUCAAGAGUCGGCUCCUAUCUUAGUGAGGUCGUACUCUUGGAGUAUACACUCAUUGGAUAUUCCACCCUCACUUGUUGAUGGCAGUUCCAUGUCAUCAUCUCACAUCAUCAUCACUUACAUCUCAAUUAAAUUAGUGUAUCUAUAUACGAUGACAAGAACGGCACAAGGAAGGACGAGAUCACUGCAUUCAGAGGGCACACAUUUGGCGGCGACACAAAUGUGUUCAGGCUUUCUAUGAGAGAUUGAAAGAGAUUGUUUUAACUUUUCCUCCAACCCUAGGAAUGUUUGUUUAUAGUUGUUUAACUGAAAAUAUUUUCUUGCUUCUUUGUUUAGAUUCACGAGUAUUGUCGGCAACAUCCUUCUGCACAAGUUGUAGAUGUGAUCGAGAAGUUUAGUGGAUGUCUUAAGGAAAAGUUAGCUGUUAAAUUUAGUGGCGAGGUAUGCAAAUUCUAUAAUACUACUAAAGAAAAUUAUUACAAUGUUGCAAAAAUUUGUUGUAUACAAAAUUGAAUGUUGCAUUAACUUGUUAUAAACUGUUACUAUGUAUGAAAAUCUUUUUGUAGUUUUUAAAACUGAAUGUUGCAUUAAUUGGUUAUAAGUUGGUAGUUAUGUGUGCAUAGGAGAACAAUAGAGACAAUAUUACACAGAACAAGUCUAACAUCAGUUGCUUUUCGGGACGGCUGAUGGACAUGUGUGCAAAAUAUA